ACCAUUAACGCGGUUUCCUAUUGUGGGUUUUUAAUGUUUUUAGGAUUAAAAAAAAAAAAAUUAUGCAAUUAGAGAAAGAACGUCUCUCAAUUAGGGUCCAGAAAACGUCUCUUAAUUAGGGUCCAGAAGACACGUCUCUUAUGAGACACGUGUUGGGCAUUCACGUCUCUUUCUCUCUCUCCCGAAAUCAACCCCGCCUCUCUCUCUCGUGAUCUCUCCUCGACUAUCUCUCCUUGGCUCUGCGCCGCGUUAUCCCUCAUCCUCUCCAUGAAUUCCUCCCCAGCUUGCUUCUUCCACUCUCCUCUUCGACCCAUCUCGCUUCCCCAAUCCUCCUAUGGCUUCUUCUCAAAGCGUAAGCUUCUCUUCCUCUGAUUACAUCUGAAUCAAAGCAAUCAUUUAUGAGGACACAGUCUGUUGAUGAUAGAUUAAGAAUCAGAGCAAUCACUUAUCUGUCAAUUGAUUCUGUUUUGUUGCUUUUGUUUAAUUUCUUGUGGGUUUCUUAAAUAUGACAAUCGAUGUUGAUGCUAUCGAAGAUGAUGAUGAUGUUGUUGAGUCAACUGCUUCUUCUUUUGAUCGAGCUAAAAUUACAAGAUUGUGAUUGAUGAUGAUACCAAGUGAUCAUGUAAAUGUGUUGCGCACAAGUCCUUUGUCAUGUUCUUCCAUCCUUGCACUUCUCUCCAAUACUCUGUUUUUGCAGCCACAGAGAGAACAAAGGGGGUGCCUAGACGACAACAGGAGGCCAGAGCUUCAUGCGUUUUAUUUCGACGAGGAGAAGAAGAAAUAUUUCACAAUUAAAGGUCUUAUCCCAGGAACCUAAUUAUCAGAAGAGAAAUAAACUGAAAGCAUUGAAGCUGCUUUGUUCCCGAGAGCUAAGUGGCAGUGUUAUUGCUCUUAAUAAUAAGAAGAACAAGUCUAAAUUCAAGGAGGAGAUUGAAAAGACACACGCCUCUAACCCUCUGAUGUGGAGAUAUGAUUCUACGGAAAACAUAGGCGAUGCUGCUUUGAAAGAGUUUCAGGUUGAUAUACAAACAUCUCAAGGCCUCACCAUAUUUGUGUAAUUGAGGCUGCUUGAGGUAUGUUCUAUGAGUUAAGUCUCCUCCUAGAAUUAACAACAUUAGAUUUUUUUCAUUCCAAUCUAUAUGCUUUGGACAUGUCUAAUUUUUUUUUAAGACCCCCUAAAUAAGAAACUACCAUUGGAGGGUAUGAAUCAAGGUGUUUCUUAAACAAGGUUCUUAAUUACAUUUAAUUAGUAAAAUAUUCAUUAAGAGAUCCAAUGGGGUUUGUGGGUUAAUCAU
Long non-coding RNA from Brassica napus (rape), 1295 nucleotides. RefSeq lists it as uncharacterized. NCBI's taxonomy places the organism in Eukaryota, Viridiplantae, Streptophyta, Magnoliopsida, Brassicales, Brassicaceae. The transcript is spliced from 5 exons. The record is from RefSeq and is a predicted model, not a curated record.